CUGUAAGCCAUGUCGUCAGUCGCCCCUCCCUCCGUCAGGGCAACGGCAGACAAUCUGCAUCUGAGUUGAGAAUACUGACCAGAGCGGUCACAAUGGAGCACUCUGGGGUAGCUCCCGGAGGCCAAUACCGUCGAAUUGCUUCCACAGUACCCCAAAAUUGACCCGGCAAAGCUAAUUUCAGCGCUAAUCCCCUUGUUGGGGGUGGAGUAAGGAAAUUGAUUUUAAGAGCCCUUUAAGU
Long non-coding RNA from Chelonia mydas (Green sea turtle), 238 nucleotides. RefSeq lists it as uncharacterized. The transcript has 2 exons. The record is from RefSeq and is a predicted model, not a curated record. NCBI's taxonomy places the organism in Eukaryota, Metazoa, Chordata, Testudines, Cheloniidae.